CCUACGGGAGGCAGCAGUGAGGAAUAUUGCUCAAUGGCCGGUAGGCUGAACCAGCCAUGCCGCGUGAAGGUCAGUGCCCUAUGGGCGUUAAACUUCUUUCGUGCGGGAGCAAUAAUGCUCACGUGUGGCCAGACGCGAGUACCGUACGAAUAAGCAUCGGCUCACUCCGUGCCAGCAGCCGCGGUAAUACGGGGGGUGCUAGCGUUAUCCGGAUUUAUUGGGUCUAAAGGGGGCGUAGGCUGGGAGGUAAGUCAGCGGGGGAAUGCCCCCGCUCAACGGGGUGAAGUGCCAUUGAUACUGCCUUGCUGGAAUGCGGGUGCGGUGGGAGGAAUGUGUGGUGUAGCGGUGAAAUGCGUAGAUAUCA
RNAcentral lists this ribosomal RNA (364 nucleotides) under uncultured bacterium. RNAcentral describes it as "partial 16S ribosomal RNA". It matches the Rfam family "Bacterial small subunit ribosomal RNA", at positions 338 to 699 of the family's 1533-position model. The record is from RNAcentral.